AUCUAGCUGACCAAUCCCAAAUAGGACGACACGCACGUCCUGGAU
This is a non-coding RNA of Schistosoma mattheei, 45 nucleotides long. NCBI's taxonomy places the organism in Eukaryota, Metazoa, Platyhelminthes, Trematoda, Strigeidida, Schistosomatidae. The record is from Rfam.